Molecule: non-coding RNA, 1064 nt
Organism: Paramormyrops kingsleyae
Lineage: Eukaryota; Metazoa; Chordata; Actinopteri; Osteoglossiformes; Mormyridae
Source: RefSeq, a predicted model, not a curated record
AGGAACUAAAACCUCUUCUCAAAUGUAGCAAUUUUGCAUUCAGCUGCUCCACCAGCACACAGACAGAAAGCCACAUCUGCAAAGCAAAGCAAAGAGGGACAGCCAUCUCCUAUAUGUUAAACGUGAAGUCUAUUGUUUGUUGUUUUUUUAAUCUAAUUUGGCAGCAUAACCAGAAAAUGUAGUGUGUUUUUUUUCCACCCUCAACUUUUCCUUACACGGCUCUCGUUGAAGAGCUCAGCACUAUACAGGGAUAUAUGAACGAGAAGGUUGAGUUUCUUUUGGAACAGGAGACCAGGAUGAAGAAGACUGAAAGAGACCAUGCAACGGAUACAAAAGCAAUACAUUUUUUUUUCCAGAAAUGGGAUUGAGGGAUAAUGUUGAGGGGACAACACUGAACGUCAAAUGACAAGAAGUGAACCUGGGAGGUCUGCAAGCACCCCCGAAAUCUACACCAAGCCUGUCUGUCUUCUGGAGACUUGUUGAAUGCUCUGACGGCCAGGAGGGGGUGCCAGAUCACCCACAGUGCCCGUUCAUCCAGCACUACUGCAUCAACCUGGUGUCACAAGAAUAUCUGGAUAAAGACUCCCAGUGCCCCCAUAUGAGUGUUAUCGCCAGUGUUAUCCUGUUACAGAACAGAGUCUAUUUACCAGUCGACACCAGUUAACAGACUAACUCAAGCUAGUCAGCAGUGAAGUUCUUUUAGAAGCAGAAAUAGACCAGACUUCACCUGGACUCACUGUGAACCAAAUACCUACACGUGAGGCAACAUUUGUGCUUACCUGCUAUUAAUCUGCAUGGUCAUGCUUUUGUUGCUAUUUUUGGUUCACUGGACAAUAGUCUGUUUGGCGCAGCCAAAGGCUAACAGGUCAUCAGGAGCCAUACAAAGAAGAAUGUGGCAAGAAGUGAGGAAGUUGUUAAAGCUUUAGUUUAGUUUGGAGGAUCGUGUGACAAAUAUAAUGACAAUGUCCUGCUACUUAGCAGUGUAAAUGCACCAAUGAAAAGGGCAAAAUGGGGGGAUGUUUUGCUGAUUGAUUGCAGCCAAUAAAACUCAUUCUGGAAUCCUC